Molecule: ribosomal RNA, 200 nt
Filed under: uncultured bacterium
Lineage: Bacteria
Description: partial 16S ribosomal RNA
Rfam family: Bacterial small subunit ribosomal RNA
Source: RNAcentral
UACGAACGCUGGCGGCAGGCUUAACACAUGCAAGUCGAACGCCCCGCAAGGGGAGUGGCAGACGGGUGAGUAACGCGUGGGAAUCUACCUGAUACUACGGAACAACUGAGGGAAACUUCAGCUAAUACCGUAUACGCCCUAAGGGGGAAAGAUUUAUCGGUAUCAGAUGAGCCCGCGUUGGAUUAGCUAGUUGGUGGGUA